UGCUGUUAAUUUCUAAAGAGUCUCGGUGCCGUGCGGCAACGACUUCUCUAUAGCGUCCUGCGAUUUUCAUCACUAGGGAAUAGCCCUGGCGCCGGACUGCCUGAGGAAGAUGAAGGUAUAGGGUGCACGAGAAGAGGAAGGUUCUCGGAGCUGCUAGAUGUAUACUGUAGGGGAAGAGAGACUCGGGUCGAUACCUGUUGAUACUUCGUUCAAAUAAAAGUCAACUUGUACGAGUUUCACGGCAGCGGCUGUAGUUUGCGGAGACGAGAAGGUGGUCAGAGAACCGGUAUGGAGUACACGGCAAGUUCGAGCGACUUUUGCGGAUACCUUUCGCAGGAACGUCUGUUCCUUUUGCCAUUUUAUUAUUUUAACGCUCCUGAUACCAACACAUCCGCUUUUCUUCGCCUCGACGCGAAAUCGAGUUUCGUCCCUCUAAUGGAAAUCUAUAAUAUGUUACGAUUGAAAAUCUAUUGGAACGAGAUUCGUAUAUAAUCUAUCAUGUUUUUCUUCUUUUAAAUAUACGUAAAUUCUUAUUUUCGAAUAAAUAAAAUCAAUAUUUUCUCGGCGUAUGUUCCGAGGAAUUGUGAGACAAUGUGAUUUCAGCACGUUCACAGGUGCAAAUUUAGUUUUGAAAAUGCUGUAAGAUAGACUAUGUACUUAUAUACACGGCAUCCAUUAUGAUUGCUAUUGCGUCUCUUGCGAUCAUUGAUCUAUCGUGUUAAUCAGGUAUUUAGUAAUUGAAGAAGUAAUUGUUAUAUCACAAUGCCAAAUUGCCUUUAGGGGUUAACAUGGUGAUUGAAAGCUACACAAUACGUUUAGAAUGCACUAGUGAUUGUAGUGAUUGUACGUGCCUGUGAAGCAAUGUCAAUAGUUUAAAGGAUAGUUUAAAGUGAAACAGAUGUCGAUCACUUGUUAAAGCAAUCAUUGUCGCAUAUCAUCUCUAUCUCGGGAAAGGCCUGCAGCAAUAAUAAAAGAUACUUGUUGGUUAUUGAGCGUCACUUAGUGAUGCAUAAUAAAGUUGCUAAAUCCGUUCGUAAUAAAUGCGAGAAUUAUCCUGGACAGGAGA
Long non-coding RNA from Vollenhovia emeryi, 1066 nucleotides. RefSeq lists it as uncharacterized. The record is from RefSeq and is a predicted model, not a curated record. The transcript has 2 exons. Lineage: Eukaryota; Metazoa; Arthropoda; Insecta; Hymenoptera; Formicidae.